This 445-nucleotide ribosomal RNA is filed under the name Halomonas sp. M17-C8. RNAcentral's name for it is "bacterial SSU rRNA". It matches the Rfam family "Bacterial small subunit ribosomal RNA", at positions 1 to 450 of the family's 1533-position model. The record is from RNAcentral. Lineage: Bacteria; Pseudomonadati; Pseudomonadota; Gammaproteobacteria; Oceanospirillales; Halomonadaceae.
UUGAGUUUGAUCAUGGCUCAGAUUGAACGCUGGCGGCAGGCCUAACACAUGCAAGUCGAGCGGAAACGAUGGAAGCUUGCUUCCAGGCGUCGAGCGGCGGACGGGUGAGUAAUGCAUGGGAAUCUGCCCGAUAGUGGGGGAUAACCUGGGGAAACCCAGGCUAAUACCGCAUACGUCCUACGGGAGAAAGCAGGGGAUCUUCGGACCUUGCGCUAUCGGAUGAGCCCAUGUCGGAUUAGCUUGUUGGUGAGGUAAUGGCUCACCAAGGCGACGAUCCGUAGCUGGUCUGAGAGGAUGAUCAGCCACAUCGGGACUGAGACACGGCCCGAACUCCUACGGGAGGCAGCAGUGGGGAAUAUUGGACAAUGGGCGAAAGCCUGAUCCAGCCAUGCCGCGUGUGUGAAGAAGGYCCUCGGGUUGUAAAGCACUUUCAGUGGGGAAGAAA